Long non-coding RNA from Mercenaria mercenaria, 4009 nucleotides. RefSeq lists it as uncharacterized. NCBI's taxonomy places the organism in Eukaryota, Metazoa, Mollusca, Bivalvia, Venerida, Veneridae. The transcript is spliced from 3 exons. The record is from RefSeq and is a predicted model, not a curated record.
UAUAGUUACAAUGUUCCAUUUCAAUACAUAACGACGAGUUAUUUUCACUUCCUCAUUAUUUCUGUUUAAGACCUGGAGCGUAACAAAUACAAAUUUUGUUUCAUACAAUUUGUACAUUUGAGCAGAUUUAAUAUUCAACUGGACAUUUCGUACGAGAUUGAACGUCAAACCGACAUAAUUAUAGAUCUUAUGGUGACUUUCCAACUAUUGAUGGUGAAGGACUACCCAAAGUGCCAGCCAUGUACAUUAUUUCAUCAUAGGCGGGCAACUGGAAAGAACCGGAACACGCCGGAUGACUUUCUCACAUAAAAACACACCAAGUGAGGCUUGAGUUCUCAUCGGUGACGGGUAAGUGAUUUGAAAUUAACGACCUUAAAAUUUGUCUUUCGAAAUGUUUUGACUUGAUUGUCACGCUUUAUUUAUUGAGGUAAAUUAUGCCUAUUACUUUUAUUUGAUGUCACUUUUAUUACUACACAUUUUUCCGCACCUUUAUCUCAUUAUAUACGUUUGAAACGUUUAUUUAAAAGACGCGAUGAUUUAGAUUUUUAGCAAAUAUCUGAUAACAAGUGUUGCUUGAACGUGCAUCAAAUCGGGGAACUCUGAUUAAUAUCUUUAGCUAAAAAUUAAACAAAAGCUGGAUUUUCGGUGCAAAUUCUUUCUAUACGUUGUUCAUUGUGUUACGUUAAUAGACACAGUUCACCUUUUAGUGUUUCGUAACAAGUGCAACGCAUAUUUUGUGAAUUGGAAUCAACUCAGGGAACGGUAUGUAUAGCACAUUAUAUUUAGUGCAAAAUUGCACAGAUCUUUCUCCAACUGGAAUCACAAUGGGGUUUCAACUUUCCUAAGAAAACAAUUCUUUCAUUCUAUGAUUUGGAGUUGUUUGAUUUUUUUUCUCGUAAGGUUAAGCGUUAAACAGUUUUGUAUGAAAUCAAAUAACUAUGGGUGCACAUUUAACACUUUGUUCUAACUAGCUUAGGAUCUUAUGCUAGCUCGAAUAUCGGAAUUCAACUUCAUAGCUUUCCCAAAUUACGAUCCUAAAGAUCCUAAGCUAAUUGAUGGGUCUUUAUUUAGUCUUAUUUGACUGUAUAAGAAUAAAUUAAUUUUUACCAGUGUACUGGAACGGAAAACUUCUUUAUAUAUAUUUUGAAUAAUAAUUGAAAACAUUAUCUUUAUUAUAAAGAAAAUCUGUAUUCAAAGCUUAUUUAAAAAUGAUUUGAUCCGUAUGUUAAGCACAGUGGUCGCAUUGAGGUAUGUCAAACAUUCUGCAUUGAAAUAAUUUCGCACAAUAGUGGCGAUUAAUACAGAUAAAAAAACCUCUUUUGAUAAAAUCGCUUCCUCGGAUACCAUUCCUCGUUUCACAUCAUUGUCGAAACUCAUAAAUGAGGCUCUAAGAUACUAAGAUUGGAAAAGAGAUGUAGAAGUGGAAAACCUAAAUUUAAUUAGCUUGUAAUAUAGAAGUAGAGGUCACGUAACAUGAUUUUACGAUAUUUUUAUUUCGGUGACUUCGUAAGUUUUUUCGUCAAAUCGAUAGCAAAUUAGUCUUUCAUCAUUAUGUUAUUUUUUGGCAAACGCUAUCGUUUGGGUUUUACAUGAGACAAGAUUAAUUGGAACAUUUUAUUCUAAAUGGAACGUCAUAUUUGUCGCUCUGACAUCACUUAAAAGUAAAUAUUGACGUCACCUUUAAAAUGAUAUACACAAACUUAAAGACAUUGCUAUAUGAAAAUACGACGAGUAAUAAGCAAAUCGAUACUUCUUCAUUGAAAAGAACGAUUUACAAUAACAGUCUGACGGACGCGAAAUCCCGGUUCAUUAAAAAUGACGUCAAUAGGCGUUGUUGAAGGCUUGCAGAGAGAGAGGCUACAGAAAUAUCAAAAAUGUAAAGUACGCGUUAAAUUAGGAAUAUAAUGAAUUUUGUUUUAAACAAAAUGUCGAAACGGAACCUCUUGAACAUAGACUGAGGCGCAUUCUAUCUUAAGAAAUAUAAAAUACACACACACACACACACACACACACACACACACACAUGUACCACAUUCUGUGAAAAGAUAGAAUAACCAUUUUCUUAAUAAAAAAAAGAUCAAUCUGCUUUAAAUGUUUUAUUAUGAUUAUAAGUAUGCAUACAUAUGCUUUCUGUAUUUACGAGUAGGUCGUUCCAGUGGAACUGAAUUUGUAAAGUGAAGAAGGGUAAACUUAACUCAAAUUUCGAGAAAUUGGGUCGAAAGAGAAAGCCUUACGAGUAUUUAUUACAAAGACGUUGGACUAUAUAUUGGAUUCGAAACCAGAAAUGGAAAAUUUACAAGAAGCAAAUGACACUAACUGUGAGUUUCGCUAUAAAGUCGGCAGCAUUACUUCUACGUCUAAAAACACGGACGAGGCGUCUCAGCUUGCCCUCAUGAAUGGAAAGCGCAUUAUCGUGAUCGGGUGUGGAAGUUAUAGACUUAGAAACAUAUGGCAGUUUAUGAUCAAUGUAUUUCAUAAACAAAGUCGUUAAAUGAAAUAAAACUGGAUAAUGUCAACCAAGCACAUUUUCGUACAAUCAAAAUGUUGUUAUUUUCCAACCAGGUAGUAAUUUACAAAUAUAGCAUGCAAAGAAACAAGCCUCCUAUAAAACCUGUCAGUUGAUCAAAACAGAAUUAAAACAUACUUUCGAACUACAUCAUCGUUCAUUUCAAAUGUCAAGAAAAAAGUAUUUACCCAACCUUAAAAUAAAUAAUUAAGUAGAAGAAAACAAUUUUACAAAAUUGUGCUUUUUUAUUAAGAUAAGGAUUUUACGCAUAGCAGAUAAGCAAUUUUAAACAAAUUGAAGACGACCUUAUGCUAACAAACACAUUUACCGUUGCAUUUAGUUAUUGCGGUCAUCUGAUUCUGUGCUGAAGCUACUACAUUGCGAACAAACUUCCGAUCGUAGUCUCGCCCGAAGAGGAGACCCAAGAUUUAAGAAGUUCAAAAGCACAGAAUGCAAUAGGAAUGAUCAUAUUUUAACUCAAACUAUUUUUUACGAUAAUUACCUUAUUUACGUUAAUAAAGUGUCAGAUCUUUAAAUUUGCAUAAGUAUUCAGUAUACUCAUAUGAAUUGAAUGUCAAACCGACAAAAUCAUAGGUCAUAUCAUAGAGAUAUUAGAUUUGUAUUGAGAAAUAUGCACGAGUUCUGCAGCGGAAAUAUUGCGCGAGUUUAAGAGCGCGAUAUUAUUCCUCGAAACUGAACGAAUGCAUAUUUCUCGAUGCAAAUCAAAUAAUCUUUUUAUUACAUACACAUAUUACAAUUGUAAUUAUUAUAUAAAUGGUACAAAUUUGUUCUUAAGCUUGUGUAAAACUGAAAAUAUCGUCGCUAAAGAACUUUUGAACGUGACGACAUGCAUUGAACUGACGUCACAAAUGACGUCACGCACCCGAUAUUAAACUGGAACGUCAAAAUGGAAAUAAUAUUCACUUUUCAGGUUCCACUGUAACUUAACGGAAUGUAUAGCCUUGUAUGUAAUAAUAGGUCAUAUGAUGACUUUCCAGCUAUUGAUGGUGGAGGAAGUCCCAGAGUGCCAGUCCUGUACAUUAUUUCAUCACAGGCGAGCAACUGGAAAGAACCGAAGCAAGCCGGAUGACUUUCGCACAUGAAAAAUCAAACGCCCUGCUUGUGGCUUGAGUGCUCAUCGGUGACGGUUCACGAAUAGGUCGUUCCAGCGGGACUGAUUUUGAAUGUCGGAAGAGAAAGUCAUACGAGUAGGAAUAAAUAAGACGUUGGAUUCUAUACUGGAUUCGAAACCAGACAUGGAAAAAUUUGGAGAAGAAAAUGACACUAACCAGGAGUUUUGCUAUGAAGUCGUCAGCAUUGUGGAACAAGGGGAUAAGACUACGUCAGAAAAUGUUGACGAGGUGUCUCAGCGUAACCUGAUGAAUGGAAAAUGCAUUAUAGUGGUUGGAGGUGGAAGUUAUAGACUGAGGAACAUAUGGCAGGAUGCAGCAAAAUAUGGAAUAGAGGUAACAAAAGUUCAGCAUGAUAAAAUGAAUAUAUCGA